UACGUAGGGUGCAAGCGUUAAUCGGAAUUACUGGGCGUAAAGCGUGCGCAGGCGGUGAUGUAAGACAGAUGUGAAAUCCCCGGGCUCAACCUGGGAACUGCAUUUGUGACUGCAUGGCUGGAGUGCGGCAGAGGGGGAUGGAAUUCCGCGUGUAGCAGUGAAAUGUGUAGAUAUGCGGAGGAACACCGAUGGCGAAGGCAAUCCCCUGGGCCUGCACUGACGCUCAUGCACGAAAGCGUGGGGAGCAAACAGG
Molecule: ribosomal RNA, 253 nt
Filed under: uncultured bacterium
Lineage: Bacteria
Description: partial 16S ribosomal RNA
Rfam family: Bacterial small subunit ribosomal RNA
Source: RNAcentral